RNAcentral lists this ribosomal RNA (444 nucleotides) under uncultured bacterium. Its description in RNAcentral is "partial small subunit ribosomal RNA". It matches the Rfam family "Bacterial small subunit ribosomal RNA", at positions 26 to 518 of the family's 1533-position model. The record is from RNAcentral.
AGGACGAACGCUGGCGGCAGGCUUAACACAUGCAAGUCGAGCGCCCCGCAAGGGGAGCGGCAGACGGGUGAGUAACGCGUGGGAACAUACCCUCCGGUUCGGAAUAAUUCAGGGAAACUUGGACUAAUACCGGAUACGGCCUAGCGGCGAAAGAUUCAUCGCCGGAGGAUUGGCCCGCGUUCGAUUAGCUAGUUGGCGGGGUAACGGCCCACCAAGGCGACGAUCGAUAGCUGGUCUGAGAGGAUGAUCAGCCACAUUGGGACUGAGACACGGCCCAAACUCCUACGGGAGGCAGCAGUGGGGAAUAUUGGACAAUGGGCGCAAGCCUGAUCCAGCCAUGCCGCGUGAGUGAUGAAGGCCCUAGGGUUGUAAAGCUCUUCUGUGCGGGAAGAUAAUGACGGUACCGCAAGAAUAAGCCCCGGCUAACUUCGUGCCAGCAGCCGC